This 426-nucleotide ribosomal RNA is filed under the name uncultured bacterium. RNAcentral's name for it is "partial 16S ribosomal RNA". It matches the Rfam family "Bacterial small subunit ribosomal RNA", at positions 354 to 796 of the family's 1533-position model. The record is from RNAcentral.
GUGAGGAAUUUUCCGCAAUGGGCGAAAGCCUGACGGAGCAAUGCCGCGUGAAGGAUGAAGGCCUAUGGGUUGUAAACUUCUUUUCUCAGAAAAGAAUUAUGACGGUAUCUGAGGAAUAAGCAUCGGCUAACUCUGUGCCAGCAGCCGCGGUAAGACAGAGGAUGCAAGCGUUAUCCGGAAUGAUUGGGCGUAAAGCGUCUGUAGGUUGUUUAAAAAGUAUUCUGUCAAAGAUUAGGGCUUAACCCUAGAUAGGCAGAAUAAACUUUUAAGCUAGAUUUUGGUAGGGGGAGGGGGAAGUCCCGGUGGAGCGGUGAAAUGCGUAGAUAUCGGGAGGAACACCAAAGGCGAAGGCACUCUGCUGGGCCAAUACUAACACUGAGAGACGAAAGCGAGGGGAGCAAAUGGGAUUAGAAACCCCGGUAGUCC